ACUUGAGAUUAGCGAAUGUUCACACCUUGAGUCUUCGCUCCCCAUAAAUUUGUUCCCAAAACUUACCCGCUUGGAUAUAAUAGGAUGUAAGGAUUUGGAAUCUCUUGCAGUCUCAGAACAGCAUGAACAUGAUGGAAUAACAUACCUCAACAGCUGUCUCCAUACGUUAAUAAUUAAUCAUGGCCUCUCACUUAUUUCCCUUCCUAGGGGUGAUUCACUCUCGGCAUUGAAAAUGCUUUUGAUCAAUGACUGUAAGAAGUUGGAGCUCCCCAUGGGCAAUAUUCAUCCAGCGAAUUGUCCUUGACAGCUUCAUGUGAUUCUCUCACAUUCUUUCCAUAUACCUAUUCUCAAAGCUGAAGAGUAUCGAAAUUUACAGGUGUAUGAAUCUGGAAUCUCUUGAGCAACACGGACACGAUCAAUGAUAUCACAAAUUAAAAUCCAUAAUUGUCCUAAUUUUGUAUCUUUUCCGAAAGGAGGAUUGCGUGCCCCUGCCCUUACAGAGUUUUCCAUAGGAGGUUUUAAGAGUCUGAGGUCAAUGCCGGAUAAGAUGCACUUGCUACUUCCGUCUCUUCAAUCCUUGGAGCUACUAGAUUGUCCAGAAGUUGAGUUGUUUCCUAAAGGGGGAUUGCCUUCCAACCUGAAGGAAAUUACGAUCCGCAGAUGUAACAAACUCAAUGAGAGUCGGAUGGGAUGGGGUUUGCAAAAACUUUCGUCUCUUGUAUCUUUGAAAAUUGAUGGCGAAACAGAAGAUGCAGAGUCUUUUCCAGGGACGAGGUUGCUGCCCUCCAGUCUGACGCAUCUUGGAAUCUAUGAAUUUUAAAAAUUGGAAUGUCUGGACAAUGAGGGGUUUCAACACCUCACUUCUCUUCAAGAACUGGAGAUCAGUGGAUGCCCCAAGAUCAAGUACUUGCCAGAAGAGGGCUUGCCUGCCUCCCUUGCCAUUUUAAAUUUAGGAGACUGUCCUGUGGUGAGAAAACGCUUGCAAAGGCCAACGGGAAAGGAAUGGCACAAGAUUACUCACGUCCCCAACGUAUUCAUUGAUUUGGAAUCGGGGAGAUCUGAGCACUUUGUACAUGACCGGUCUUGAACAAUCUCUUACAUACUAAACUACCCAGCAGAUGUAUGGUGGCAAAGACAGAAGUAUUUCAGCUUUAUACAGCUAGGUACCUAUAUGUAUAUAUAUAUUUCUGUCUCUUUUUCAUAUAUUCUGGGAGACGAGGGGUUGCAAGAUCAAAACACUGGAGAAAGGAAAUAGGCAAAGAAAAGGACCCGCUUCAUUCCUGACGUCCCUGCCUUCUGUCGUAAUAAGUUAUGAGCCUGAGACAUUAGGCAUUUCAAUUGUUCACAUAUCUUGAAGACUUGUGCAUCUCUGUUGCGCCAUUCUUUUGUCUUUGCCAUUGCUUCUUCAAUAAAGGAGAAUCGAAGAUAUACAUCUACAACAGGUGAACAAGUCCUCGUGAAAAAAGUACAUUCACAAUAGGUGACUGAAUGAAGGGAGGGAAAGACAUAUUCAGCUAGCUUUUACGAUUAUCCGUAUAUUACUGUCACUUUCUCCUUAUACUUUCUUUCUCAUUUCUUUUUCAUUUAUAAUUUCCCAAUAUUAUAUUUUUUCCUUAAUCGUAUUGAAAACUUUUCAAUUACAACAUUUAGACGAUCUAAGAGCUGCGAUUACAGUACAUCAAGCAGAGGUGAGCAUACAUAUGACUGGUGUCGUGGCAAAAAUCGUGACAUACACAAUUCAUUUGAACGGAUUGGACUUAGAUGCGUCAAUAUGGUGGUGGGGAAAUCUAAUGUGGGUUUGGAAUUACCAGCCCGUACAUUUUCUACUCAAAGCUCCUAGGUGAGAACAGGUAAUCAGAGGAUUUUCUCGUGGCUAAUGUGGGAUCCAUGUCAAGGUGACUCGUGAUUUUAAUAUCCAGACAGCUUUACACCAAUUUGAAGCGACUGCAACUUCUAAUACCAACAAUUAUUAGAACUUUUGGAUGAGAAAGCUGUGUGGGUUGAAACAUUAGAGCGCACUGGAUUGUGAAGUCAUAAUGCGAACCUUUCAGUUUCCAAAAUGGACUCAGUCGACCAUUGGGACAAUCAUACUUAAAUGUUGAUGGGAAAUCCGGGGGUGUUGUGAUGCUGAUAUAAAUUUUGUAACAGGUUUUAUUACUUCACAAUAUGGUGAAUAAUGUACCAAUACCAUGGCGGAGGUAGGAACCAUUUUAGAUGGCUUGUAACUUUGUAUAAAGUUUCACUCACAAGUGUGUGACCAUUUGGUGGAAAGGAAAUGGCCUGAUAUGUCCUGUGCGGGGAGGGACAUUUGUGACAGGAUCUCUUAUAUGUUGGCUUAGCACCUUGACGAUUUAUAUGGACAUGUGUCGAGGGAGGUCAAUUUAGUGGAUGAUUAUGCUCCUGUUGCUUAA
Carya illinoinensis is the source of this 2411-nucleotide long non-coding RNA. RefSeq lists it as uncharacterized. NCBI's taxonomy places the organism in Eukaryota, Viridiplantae, Streptophyta, Magnoliopsida, Fagales, Juglandaceae. The transcript is spliced from 3 exons. The record is from RefSeq and is a predicted model, not a curated record.